GAUGAACGCUAGCUACAGGCUUAACACAUGCAAGUCGAGGGGAAACGAUAUUGGAAGCUUGCUUCCGAUAGGCGUCGACCGGCGCACGGGUGAGUAACGCGUAUCCAACCUGCCCAUCACUUGGGGAUAACCUUGCGAAAGUAAGACUAAUACCCAAUGAUAUCUCUAGAAGACAUCUGAAGGAGAUUAAAGAUUCAUCGGUGAUGGAUGGGGAUGCGUCUGAUUAGAUUGUUGGCGGGGUAACGGCCCACCAAGGCGACGAUCAGUAGGGGUUCUAAGAGGAAGGUCCCCCACAUUGGAACUGAGACACGGUCCAAACUCCUACGGGAGGCAGCAGUGAGGAAUAUUGGUCAAUGGACGAGAGUCUGAACCAGCCAAGUAGCGUGCAGGAUGACGGCCCUAUGGGUUGUAAACUGCUUUUAUAAGGGAAUAAAGUGAGUCUCGUGAGACUUUUUGCAUGUACCUUAUGAAUAAGGACCGGCUAAUUCCGUGCCAGCCGCCGCGGUAA
This 508-nucleotide ribosomal RNA is filed under the name uncultured bacterium. Its description in RNAcentral is "partial 16S ribosomal RNA". It matches the Rfam family "Bacterial small subunit ribosomal RNA", at positions 28 to 523 of the family's 1533-position model. The record is from RNAcentral.